GUCAUUUCCUAAGAAACAGUCAAGAAGAGAGAAAGCAAUUGAAAGGUGAGGAGCAGAGAACUAUGAAGAUGAUUCAGGAAGAGGCACAUGGAGACCAGAGAUGAGGACCCUAAGACCUAGCGAAACUAAGUCAUUUGCUCAAGAAGACAAAGGAAUGAAGUCUGCAGCCCACCAUUACAGCCCAUGUUCUGAAACAACCUGCCACUGAGCUCUGUGACCUCCAGCCACACAGAGCUGCUUGCUGGUCCCUCCAUCUAUGGCCUAUGUUCACAUGGUCUGCACUGCUUUUGUGAGCUGUAACACUCAGCACGAAAGUCUGCAGCUUCAUUCUUGAGGCCAGCGAGACCACGAGCCUACCGGGAGGAAUGAGUUGAAUGAGCAACUCCAGACGUGAUGCCUUAAAAGGUGUAGCACCGUGAAGGUCUGCAGCUUCAUUCCUGAAGCCAGCGAGACCACGAACCCACCAGAAGGAAAAAACUCUGACCACGUCCAAACAUCAGAAGGAACAAACUCCGAACACACCAUCUUUAAAAAUUGUAACACUCGCCGCGAGGGUCCGCGGCUUCAUUCUUCAAGUCAGUGAGACCAAGAACCCACCAAUUCUGGACGUGCCAUCAUGUACUAAAGAACUAUGAUACAUUUUUGAAGUAUUGUUGAUAAUCCUAGCUAAAUUUUUAGACAAGAAAACAAGCUCAGGAUGGCAAGCAAUUUCACAGAUCUCAAAAACGUCAUGUUGAAGUGAAAAACUAUUAUUUUGGAAUCUGUUGAUUAUUAUAUAAAGUCUCAGUCCAUUUCUGAAUAUUAAUGAAUUUUUAAUAGUUAUAAUUGUCUUUGUUCCAAUAUGUUUAUAAUUUACAUCUCUACUUGUAUUAAUGCUCAUAGUAGUUUACAAUUAAAAUAUUGAUGUGAGACUGUUAACUAUAAAGUGAGUGAGGAGAGAUAAUCAUGUAAUUCAGUGGUUCUCAACUUGGAGCAAUUUUGCUAUCCAGGGGACAUUUGACAAUGUCUAAAGACGUUUUUGGUUGUCACAGCUGGAGUUAAGGGAGCUGGAUGGGUGAAUUGUUACUGGUGUAUAGUGGAUAGAGGCCAGGGUUGCUUGUAAAUGUCCUACAAUGCACAGGACAGCCAUUCCUCCUACUUCAACGAAGAAUAAUGAUGUAGAAAAAGGAACAAUAAUUCAACCAGAAACCAGGUGUAAUUAACAUUACUAAACAUUAAAAUUAUCUUUUGGUUUAUUGCCUGGCAAAUCACAAUAAAUAGAAGAUACCUAAUAAUAAUUUUGCAAAGAUUAUUGAAGUUUUCUGUUUGUUUUGUUAUGUUUUGGGAUCCUCUGCAAAACCAAAAACUCAAAAGUAGUUUGUCAGUUGUGACAAUACUAGGGAGCCAAACUAAGAUAUUUUAAGAGUAGAACUUAGAAGGGUAUAGUGAUAGUUCUCAAACUUUAAUGUAAACAAGAUUCUCCCAGGAAGCUUGCUUAAGAUACAGUUCUAGGAAUUCUUGUUAAGAGAUUACUAUUUAAUAGACAUCAGCUCAAUUGAUCACAUUUUGAGAAAUAUUAAUUUAGUAGGACAAAUGAUUAAGUAAGCCUUGCAUCAGCAUUUCUCAAACCUGGACCAUCAGAAUUACCUGGGGAAUGUCUCCAGAAUAGAAUGUAUAUAACUAUUCCCAGACAUUCCCAGAAAUUGUGAUUCAACAGGUCUUGACAUGGGGCCCACACAACCAUGUAUACUUUAAAUCCCCCAGUUGAUUAUAUUGAUGAACCAGGGUUUAGAUUAGCUACCAUAGAUUAUUACUAUAAAAUAUCAUUUGUCCUAAAUUCAUUUUUGCUGGAAGCUAGAUGAAAGUCUUUUCAAAGCUGGAUUUUCUGGACAGGUUUUGGGCUAAGUGUAGGGCAGAUUUUAUGUUUAGGUUUUAGCCCCAAUUACCCAGCUUACUAGCUACGUAAUCCUGAGUACUUGACAUCAGCUCUCUGAGUUUCUUCUUUGGUUAAAUGAGAAUACUGCCCACUAUGCAAAGGAAUUUUACAGGUUGGUUAGAAAGUGCCUGGCAUAGUGUAAACACUCAAUUAACAAUUGUAAACUUUAAAGCGAGAUAGAUAUCUAUACACUUAUAGCUUGUCAGCUAUUCCAGAAUCAAUAUUAAUACUAUGCAUAAAAAUUAAAGAGCUUAGAAUUAUAUCCUUGCCUAGAGAGUUAUGCCCCUCUAUUAAAUAAGCUGGCUAUCAGAAGCACUCCACAGAAAUACUCCAAUAUAUUUACAAGUCAAUUUGUAUACUUCAACUUCAGCAGACACUGUGGAGAAAUAAGCAACAGGUAGGCUCUAAAAUGGCCUUUAUCCCUACCUCUUGGUCAUCACAACCUUUUUAUUAUCUCCUCCCCUUGAGUGUUGGCUGAACUUAUUGACUCACGUCAUAUGAAUAGACUAUGAAACAAGUGAUAGGAUGUCACCUCUGCAAUUGGGUUACAAAAAGAUUGUGGCUUCUGUCUCUAGUGCCCUCUCUUGCUCCCUCACUCACUUGCUCCAACAAAAGAUAGCUGUCCUGUGGAGAGGCCCAUGUGGCAAGGAACUGAUGCCCCUGACCAAAAGGCAAAGAGAAUCUGAGGCCUGCUAAUAGCCACAUGAGUGAACCUGUAAGUAGAUCAUCCCCUAAGUUAGCCAUUAGAUGAAGGCAAACCACACUGACCAUUUGAUUGCAGGCUUAUGAAUCUGAGGUGAGGCACUUAGCUAAGCUGUGCUUGAGUCCUGGCCCACAGAAAUUGAGAAACAAUGUUUGUUGUUUUAAGUUGCUAAGUAUUAGGAAAAUUUGUUACAUAGCAAUAAAUAACCAAAACAAAUGACAUCAACAUUCUGCUUAUAAAUUCAAGGAUGUGAUAAACAUUUGAAAAAAGAAAGGUCACUAUGAAAGAGAAUGUAUUUCAAAAUAUACUUGGAUAAAGUCAAGGAACCAUCAUGGUAAUUCAUAUCAUUUGGCAUAUAAACUUUAUUAUUCACAAGCAAAAGGGCCUGUACUGUAUUCAGCAGGUCUAGGCACAGCUGCAGAUAUAGCUAACAUGGAAGUUUUCUGCAACAAUGCUUGUGAGUGGCCACAACACAAGAAAAGGGUUGGUUCUAAAAGUGGCAUAUAAUUGGUUAAAAUCACAGUGAUUUCUUAGGAAGUGAAUGGCCAAGUUGACAUUAAUAUGAAAGUUUUGAGACCUUGUGAUCACAGAAAUUCUGAGGUCACGUAGUUUCAACAAAUAUCCUAAAUCACAGAGGAACUGGCAAUUUAAAUAGGAAAUUAGUUCACAACAUUCAGAAAUGGCUUCUAUGAAAUCCUUGACUAGGAAUUCCUUUCACUAUCCUAGAAUUGGUUUUGUUAAGACCAUAAAGACAUGUGUCACUUAUCAGGCCAGUUAGCAUACUCUUUCAAAUUGGGUCCUUUCCUUGGAAAAGCAUACAUUUUCCAGUGGUAAUUUGACCCAUAUGGGCUACCAUCCCCGAAAGUAAAUUUGCACUUGCUUACAAGAAUUUUAACUAGGCUAUCCUUGAGAAUGCCUCAUUACCUUUAUAGCAAUAACCAACUGAAAGGAUGAUGGAGGCUGACCAAAAAGAUCUGGCUGAUUUGCUCCUGGGACUUUAUCUUCCACAGAGAGGCCAAUGUCAAGUGCUCAACUAUAAUUUCAAAAUUAGACAAAGUCUUAAAAGACAGCAGGCACAUACUCUGAACACUGCAGGACCACAUGGAUCAUUUUACCCAAUUUUAACAUAAAAUGUCUUUUUUUUUUAAACUACAGGUGGUUUCUUCCAGAAAGUAGGAGUAGAGGUUUAAAAAAGUCAGAUUAAUCAAUCUACCCUUAUGUGUUUCCCGACUCCAUUAUAUAAUUUCUAUUUCCAUUUCAAUAUUACCUCACUUCUCUAAGUGUUUGUUUUUCAACUAUAAAAUUGGAUAACUAACAAUAUCUACUUUGUGUCAUUGUAAACAAUAAAUGAAAUAACCUAAUGUAUUUAUUAUAAUUUUUCUAACAGAGAAACUGCUCUAUAAAUGCAUGUUAUGAUAAUAAAAGUAAUAAUUACUCUAUGUCAUCUCAGAUCAAA
Long non-coding RNA from Symphalangus syndactylus (siamang), 4074 nucleotides. RefSeq lists it as uncharacterized. Lineage: Eukaryota; Metazoa; Chordata; Mammalia; Primates; Hylobatidae. The record is from RefSeq and is a predicted model, not a curated record.